CUACCAGGUUGGUCAAGAACAGUCAUAUUCCAGCAGCAGACAACACUGAGAAGGAGGCACGUUGGUACAUGGUGACCCACAACAACAGGGCUCCACUUCAGUUCCCACCCUCCAGCUAGCAAAAGCAGCUUAGAGGAGCCAUAAUGUGGCGAUAUCUACGACAGAGAAGCAUAAUAUAUGGUAUCCAGCAAACACUACACUUCAAGAAAAAAGUUUUAAGGAGAAAAAACAGAGUUGGCAAGAUGCAGAGGAAGACCUCAAAUCUUUGAAUGUCAUCGGGUUUGGAAAGAUUACACAAUAAAAAAUGAUGUUAUGAGUAAAGAAUAAAGAAAAACUGCAUUA
Molecule: long non-coding RNA, 342 nt
Organism: Numida meleagris (helmeted guineafowl)
Lineage: Eukaryota; Metazoa; Chordata; Aves; Galliformes; Numididae
Exons: 3
Source: RefSeq, a predicted model, not a curated record